GGGCGUAGGAAUAUUGCGGAGAGCUGCUCCUAGUACGAGAGGACCGGAGUGGACGCACCGCUAGUGUACCUGUUGUGUGGUCGCAUGCAUCGCAGGGUAGCUAUGUGCGGAAGUGAUAAGCCGCUGAAUGCAUCUAAGCGCGAAGCACGCUCCAAGAUAAGUAUUCCCUAAGAGCCUCCUGGUAGACGACCAGGUAGAUAGGCGACAGGUGUCCCCAUGGUAACAUGGUUAGCCGAGUCGUACUAAUUAGG
This 251-nucleotide ribosomal RNA is filed under the name Zooxanthella nutricula. RNAcentral's name for it is "Brandtodinium nutricula partial Bacterial large subunit ribosomal RNA". It matches the Rfam family "Bacterial large subunit ribosomal RNA", at positions 2649 to 2909 of the family's 2925-position model. The record is from RNAcentral. Lineage: Eukaryota; Dinophyceae; Peridiniales.